CAAAAUAAAAGCAGAAGCCCCACUGUUUAGAGAGUCCAGGCAACCACCAGUCCAUCUGCCUCAACAACCAGGCCACUCAAAAGCCUCAUUUCAAGGGCAAAACAUCAGAAAGGAGGAGCAAUGCAAAAGGCAAAAAAGGCUGACACAGAGCAUCCAAGAUUUUCUGCAAUGAGAAUACAACUUCUUUGAAAUUUUAAGUUUUUAAAGAAGAUCAUCCACAGUAACCCAUCUUAGCAAAAACCUCACCAGUCAUGCACAAAUUGAGUAAAUCAGAAGCAAUACUGUGUUCAAACUUGACUGAGUUUGAGUAAAUUUGUUAAUUCUUCUGAGCCACAUACUAGGAUUGCUGUGGACCAGCCUCUUCCCUUUACAGAAAGACUCAACUCCUGCUGACAGCAUCUUGAACAGCCUUCUCUGCCUCCUCCCA
RNAcentral lists this long non-coding RNA (427 nucleotides) under Heterocephalus glaber (naked mole-rat). Its description in RNAcentral is "lncRNA (ENSHGLG00100025929.2)". Lineage: Eukaryota; Metazoa; Chordata; Mammalia; Rodentia; Bathyergidae. The record is from RNAcentral.